CCUACGGGAGGCUGCAGUGGGGAAUAUUGGGCAAUGGGCGCAAGCCUGACCCAGCAACGCCGCGUGAAGGAAGAAGGCUUUCGGGUUGUAAACUUCUUUUGACAGGGAAGAGUAGAAGACGGUACCUGUCGAAUAAGCCACGGCUAACUACGUGCCAGCAGCCGCGGUAAUACGUAGGUGGCAAGCGUUGUCCGGCUUUACUGGGUGGAAAGGGCGUGUAGCCGGGUUGACAAGUCAGAUGUGAAAUCCGGCGGCUUAACCGCAGAACUGCAUUUGAAACUGUUGAUCUUGAGUACUGGUGAGGCAGACGGAAUUCCUAGUGUAGCGGUGAAAUGCGUAGAUAUUAGGAGGAACACCAGUGGCGAAGGCGGUCUUCUGGACAGCAACUGACGGUGAGGCGCGAAAGCGUGGGGAGCAAACAGGAUUAGAUACCCUUGUAGUC
This 442-nucleotide ribosomal RNA is filed under the name uncultured bacterium. RNAcentral's name for it is "partial 16S ribosomal RNA". It matches the Rfam family "Bacterial small subunit ribosomal RNA", at positions 338 to 795 of the family's 1533-position model. The record is from RNAcentral.